RNAcentral lists this ribosomal RNA (497 nucleotides) under uncultured bacterium. RNAcentral's name for it is "partial 16S ribosomal RNA". It matches the Rfam family "Bacterial small subunit ribosomal RNA", at positions 28 to 507 of the family's 1533-position model. The record is from RNAcentral.
GAUGAACGCUGGCGGCGUGCCUAAUACAUGCAAGUCGAGCGAACGGACGAGAAGCUUGCUUCUCUGAUGUUAGCGGCGGACGGGUGAGUAACACGUGGAUAACCUACCUAUAAGACUGGGAUAACUUCGGGAAACCGUAGCUAAUACCGGAUAAUAUUUUGAACCGCAUGGUUCAAAAGUGAAAGACGGUCUUGCUGACACUUAUAGAUGGAUCCGCGCUGCAUUAGCUAGUUGGUAAGGUAACGGCUUACCAAGGCAACGAUGCAUAGCCGACCUGAGAGGGUGAUCGGCCACACUGGAACUGAGACACGGUCCAGACUCCUACGGGAGGCAGCAGUAGGGAAUCUUCCGCAAUGGGCGAAAGCCUGACGGAGCAACGCCGCGUGAGUGAUGAAGGUCUUCGGAUCGUAAAACUCUGUUAUUAGGGAAGAACAUAUGUGUAAGUAACUGUGCACAUCUUGACGGUACCUAAUCAGAAAGCCACGGCUAACUACGUG